Molecule: long non-coding RNA, 919 nt
Filed under: Nannospalax galili (Upper Galilee mountains blind mole rat)
Lineage: Eukaryota; Metazoa; Chordata; Mammalia; Rodentia; Spalacidae
Description: lncRNA (ENSNGAG00000024542.1)
Source: RNAcentral
CGCCUCACCCACCAUACUGUCAGCCACUAAGGUUGAGCCAGCUUGACCUUCAGUGCUGCUUCUGAUGGAGGGUCCCCCCCCGCCUCUCUUCCCCAGCACCCCCACAGACAGCAGCAGCAGCAGUUCUCAUCCCUGGACGACAAACCCCAGUUCCCAGGGGCCUCGGCAGAGUUUGUAGACAAGCUUGAGUUCAUCCAGCCCAAUGUCAUCUCUGGCAUCCCCAUCUACCGUGUCAUGGACCGCCAGGGCCAGAUCAUCAACCCCAGCGAGGACCCCCACCUGCCCCAGGAGGAGGUGCUGAAACUGUACAGGAGCAUGACGCUGCUCAACACCAUGGACCGCAUCCUCUAUGAGUCCCAGCGGCAGGUGGGUAGGGAGAGGCUGGGCAGCUGGGUGGGAUCACCUCCGGUUUCCUAUCUUGUUAUGGUUGAAGGAGCACACCUGGGAGGAAGCCUGGUUUGUGGGUCUCCUGAGAGUUCUUGGGGUUCUCUCAAGGCUCUGGAAAAAACGUGGAAAGGCUUUCAUUCAAGGACACUAAAAACCUGCCGUAUGCACAGCUGAGAGAAGCAGCUCCCACGUGGGCUACAUAAAACAGCGCUCUCCAGAGAAUAGAUGCCGCGUGAAAGGUUUUUCCCUCAGCUGCAAGCCCAUGGGGUCCUAUUUGCAGACAGAGAUGAAUCCAGGGUCUCAAAAAACCACCAGACUAUUUCUCUCCAUGUGUAUUUUCUUUUCUUUUUUUUUUUUUUUUUUUUUUCUUUUCUCCCUUGCCUUGGGUUUUUUUUUUUUUUUUUUUUUUUUUCCUUUUAGAAACAGUGUCUCCCUAUAACCCCAAAUGGCCUGAAACUCAACUAUGUAGACCAGCUGUGAGUUCAAGGCCAGCCUGGUCUACAUAGCAAGCCUCCCGAGUGCUGGGAUUAAA